GAUGAACGCUGGCGGCGUGCCUAAUACAUGCAAGUCGAGCGAACGGACGAGAAGCUUGCUUCUCUGAUGUUAGCGGCGGACGGGUGAGUAACACGUGGAUAACCUACCUAUAAGACUGGGAUAACUUCGGGAAACCGGAGCUAAUACCGGAUGAUAUUUUGAACCGCAUGGUUCAAAAGUGAAAGACGGUCUUGCUGUCACUUAUAGAUGGAUCCGCGCUGCAUUAGCUAGUUGGUAAGGUAACGGCUUACCAAGGCAACGAUGCAUAGCCGACCUGAGAGGGUGAUCGGCCACACUGGAACUGAGACACGGUCCAGACUCCUACGGGAGGCAGCAGUAGGGAAUCUUCCGCAAUGGGCGAAAGCAUGACGGAGCAACGCCGCGUGAGUGAUGAAGGUCUUCGGAUCGUAAAAAUCUGUUAUUAGGGAAGAACAUAUGUGUAAGUAACUGUGCACAUCUUGACGGUACCUAAUCAGAAAGCCACGGCUAACUACGUG
Molecule: ribosomal RNA, 497 nt
Filed under: uncultured bacterium
Lineage: Bacteria
Description: partial 16S ribosomal RNA
Rfam family: Bacterial small subunit ribosomal RNA
Source: RNAcentral